ACAUGCAUUUCUGAGCACAUGAGAGCUCAAGGGAGGAAUUGAUCCACAAUACCAAAAAGGCAUUUUGGGCAUUUUUCUGCUCCCAACUUUGUGGGAACAGUUUAGGAAUGGCUCCUUCCUGUCACAAUGUGAGUGUGCAGCAGUGUACAAAGCAACCAACAGUUAUUUUAGUAAUUGAUUAUUUUAUCUGAUAAUCUGAAAGAAUAUUGGCACAUCCUACGAAUUCGUCAUUUAGCCACUCGUUUUUAUAUCACAUUAGACAUACAUUAAAAGAUGAAUAUUGGCAAGCUAUUCCUUUUUAAAAUAAUAAAAUAAAAAUGUUAUUGCGUAAAAUGCGAUAACACAGCAAUUCUUUAGUAAAUUUGAGCCUGGUGAUGCUGAAACUGUCACUUGAGUUUUGGAUAGUACAUAUUUAUAACAAAGGUCUUCUUAUUUUAAGUGCAAAAUUUUUGUUUGGUUGUGGCUUAAUUAUUGCUCUAAAUAUGUUGUUUUUUCAGCAAAUGGCCUUUUUUUGAGUCUUUAUGCUCCAGUUAACGAUUAAUCGAUUACUAAAUUAGUUGACAAUUAUUUCAAUAAUCAAUUUGUCACUAUUAAUCAUGUGAGCCCUACAAGCUUGGUGUAGAAGAUCUUCAGUGGUCUAGGCUUCUCUCAACCUGUGAGCCACGCUCUACACACAGAAGGACACAGUCACAGCCAGUUUUGGACAGUUCAUCAGUGAAAUCAAGCCCCAGCAUUUGCCCCCUGUUGUCCUCCAGCGCAGUAAAAGGAUGGUGCUGGACAGCACUGGGGUCGGCCUCAUUGGAAGCACAACAGGUGUCUUUAAUCUGGCCCUGCAGCACUGCCAGGUAAAUCAAAGUCUCUACUAACAAUGUGCAAAUCAGUGACCCUGUAGAAAUGCUGAGUCAGGGGAGAUUCAGUGUGGGGACAAAUGACCAAAGGAGUCAAAGAUAUCUGGUUAUUAAAAGUGUUUUGGUCAAGAAUAGAUCAUUUACUAAAGUCUUUUCAUUUCAACACAUGUAUGUACCUGAUUUCAUCAGCACUGUGUACGGCCGCAGCAACGUCCGGCUUUCCCCAACCCUGGCUGCUUUCGUCAACGGAGUGGCAUCUCAGUCCUUGGACUUUGAUGAACCCUGGCAUCCAGCAACUCAUCCAUCAGGACCCGUUCCUCCUCUAUUAGCGCUCAGUGACAUGAUGCCAUAUUCCUGAACUGCCAGUUCCUCAGAGUUGGAGUCAAGUCACAUCAAGAUUAAACAUUUUUAACAGAACUCUUCUUGUAUGCAGCUUAUUUUGGUUGUAACCUCAUGAGUUUAUAGACUUCCUGUCCUGAUGUCAGUACUUUUUAAAGUUUUAUCAUUAUGCUUUCAUGCUCAGAACGGAACAUAAUGAUGUUAGUGUGAGGGACAACAUUAGCACAAUAAGCCAUGUGUAGCUGAACGUCUCAGAGACCUCCAGAAGGGUGUGUGUUUUGUGAACAAACUGUGCUUGUUUUAUAUAAAAUCAGCUGUACAUUUUGUUCUGUUGGUUGUUCUGUUAUAACCAUGAGCAUAACACACCAGAUAUAAAAAUAUCAAUUUCAUCACCAGGACGAACAGA
Long non-coding RNA from Xiphophorus couchianus (Monterrey platyfish), 1593 nucleotides. RefSeq lists it as uncharacterized. The transcript has 2 exons. NCBI's taxonomy places the organism in Eukaryota, Metazoa, Chordata, Actinopteri, Cyprinodontiformes, Poeciliidae. The record is from RefSeq and is a predicted model, not a curated record.